AUUGAACGCUGGCGGCAGGCCUAACACAUGCAAGUCGAACGAGUGGCGGACGGGUGAGUAAUGUCUGGGAAACUGCCUGAUGGCGGGGGAUAACUACUGGAAACGGUAGCUAAUACCGCAUACUCUCGGCUGUGCCCAGAUGGGAUUAGCUAGUAGGUGGGGUAAAGGCUCACCUAGGCGCCGAUCACUAGCUGGUCUGAGAGGAUGACCAUCCACACGGGGACUGAUACACUGUCCAGACUCCUACGGGAGGCAGCAGUGGGGAAUAUUGCACAAUGGGAGCAAGCCUGAUGCAGCCAUGCCGCGUGUAUGAAGAAGGCCUUCGGGUUGUAAAGUACUUUCAGCGGGGAGGCGUUACCCGCAGAAGAAGCACCGGCUAACUCCGUGCCAGCAGCCGCGGUAAUAG
Molecule: ribosomal RNA, 406 nt
Filed under: uncultured bacterium
Lineage: Bacteria
Description: partial 16S ribosomal RNA
Rfam family: Bacterial small subunit ribosomal RNA
Source: RNAcentral